AAACGAGGCCUAAGAGUCUCUCUCCUUCAACAAUCGAAAAUAGUAGUAGAAGUUCUAUGCACAGAACCCCUUCAUCUCAGCGUCUUUGCCUGUCCAAGAGGUAUUUCUCGUUCGAGCAUACCCUGUAUCUCGCAAUGUAUGUCCAAGACCACAGAACAUUCACCACUUCACAAUGCAACAGCCCGUGAUUUUUGGUCUCCUUACCUUUAGGUUACAGAGAACAAUUAGGAGAAAUCUUCUUCCUUCGUUUGUCAACCUCAGUUUUCAAAAUAUGAUUUCAUAGUAAUUAUUGGAAAAAAAGAGAGGCCGUCCAUGUUUGAUCAUUCCCUCUCAUGACAUCACUCUGAAUCUUUUCCAAAAGUCUAUAAUAUAAUAUAUUGAUCGAUUCAAUAGCAUCGCCCGUUUCAAACGUUGACGGUUUCUCCAAAUGAAACAUCCCUUCCAUUUUUUUGCCAACGACGAUAUUUAACAGCUUAGGAAACUCCUCUUCGAAUCCAUACCACACCAGACAUUGUUUCAAAAUUCACCCAGCUACCAUCCUUCAUCUAAAACUACAGAAAUUUACCAUAUUUCUUAACCGUCUUGUCCCGGGAGAUGGGGAAUAAGUUUUAAUAACUCAGGUUUAUUACAGUGCUUAUCACAUUGAAAACUUCCUACUCUUAUCACCUUGCAUGUUGCAGAAUGUAACGGAUACUCCAAAGCAUUAUAAAUUAACUUUCCAGAAAAUGAAAUUUACAGCAAAAAAAGUCCCAAACCAAAUUUCCCCACUGUUUUCUUCAUUAUAUAAUUCAUUCAAAUUCCUCCAUCCAGUUGAAACUCCAAGCUCAUAGCCAAGUAUUUGAGGAUAAUACUGGUCAAUCUCUGUAAUCUUUAAAAUUGAACAACCCCUUUAUGGGAUAAAGUUCAGCAUUUUCAAUGACUUUCCUCAAUGCAGCAGGGCCCAUAGACAUAAGGACCUACAUUUAGAAUAUAUGGCAUAGUCAAAACAACAAUAUCAAUAAACGGUAGGGGUAAUGAAGACAACAUUAACCAGCUAGAAGAAUGUUUCUACGCAUGAAUGCAAGGUCAUAAUGAAUGGUAUUAGGAUCUAAAAACACUAAAUUCAAUACAAAAAUUUGCUCAUACAUGUCUGAAGUAUGUUGAUUAAUAUGAGAGAAUGGUUCUCAUACUCUAAUGUGUUCUAACUGUUGAAGCAUUCAAAUUUUACUUUCAAACAUGUUGGAAAUAUGAAUUGAGUCUAUAAGGACUCAAAAACUACAUCACAAAACUGCGACAAAGUAAAUGGUUCCAGAGCUUCAAAGAUUCGAAGAGACGCUUCAUACAUCAUUUUCCACCACAGUACAUCAUUUUCCACCACAGUAUCACCAACGAAAGGUAAUGUCAAUACAGAGUCUAGCGUUAAAUGUGAUUUCUAAUUUCAACAACGCAGCAAUUUAGCAGAACAUAUGAUCUUAAACCCGUUGAAAUGAAACGUGUUAAAUAUCAAAUUUUAAACAUGCUUUGCACGGUUGCAACAGAAAACAGCAGGCACAAUGGAGGCACUAGCAUAUCAGUACAUUAGAAGCAAAGAUUUCAAAAACAAUUGAAUUUAUGGUUUAUAAGUUGCAUGUAACAGAUCCUGUAAAGAAGUUAAUGAAAAAUGAGUCGAAAAUUUGGAUAUUAAACCUCG
This 1669-nucleotide long non-coding RNA is filed under the name Olea europaea (common olive). Its description in RNAcentral is "long non-coding RNA (OEUR_LNC007460)". Lineage: Eukaryota; Viridiplantae; Streptophyta; Magnoliopsida; Lamiales; Oleaceae. The record is from RNAcentral.